AUACGUAGGUGGCGAGCGUUGUCCGGAAUUAUUGGGCGUAAAGAGCAUGUAGGCGGCUUAAUAAGUCGAGCGUGAAAAUGCGGGGCUCAACCCCGUAUGGCGCUGGAAACUGUUAGGCUUGAGUGCAGGAGAGGAAAGGGGAAUUCCCAGUGUAGCGGUGAAAUGCGUAGAUAUUGGGAGGAACACCAGUGGCGAAGGCGCCUUUCUGGACUGUGUCUGACGCUGAGAUGCGAAAGCCAGGGUAGCGAACGGGAUUAGAUACCCCGGUAGUCCUGGCCGUAAACGAUGGGUACUAGGUGUAGGAGGUAUCGACCCCUUCCGUGCCGGAGUUAACGCAAUAAGUACCCCGCCUGGGGAGUACGGCCGCAAGGCUUAAACUCAAAUGAAUUGACGGGG
RNAcentral lists this ribosomal RNA (396 nucleotides) under uncultured bacterium. Its description in RNAcentral is "partial 16S ribosomal RNA". It matches the Rfam family "Bacterial small subunit ribosomal RNA", at positions 523 to 918 of the family's 1533-position model. The record is from RNAcentral.